This 439-nucleotide ribosomal RNA is filed under the name uncultured bacterium. RNAcentral describes it as "partial 16S ribosomal RNA". It matches the Rfam family "Bacterial small subunit ribosomal RNA", at positions 338 to 795 of the family's 1533-position model. The record is from RNAcentral.
CCUACGGGAGGCAGCAGUGAGGAAUAUUGCACAAUGGUGGAAACACUGAUGCAGCGACGCAGCGUGCAUGAUGAAGGAUCUCGGGAUGUAAAGCUCUAUCAGCGGGGGAGAAAUGACGGUACCUGACUAAGAAGCCCCGGCUAACUACGUGCCAGCAGCCGCGGUAAUACGGAAGGGGCAGGCGUUAUCCGGAUUUACUGGGUGUAAAGGGAGCGUAGACGGCGCUGCAAGUCCGGAGUGAAAGCCCAUGGCUGAACCAUGGUACUGCGCGGGAAACUGUGGAGCUUGAGUGCGGGAGGGGCAGGCGGAAUUCCUAGUGUAGCGGUGAAAUGCGUAGAUAUUAGGAGGAACACCGGCGGCGAAGGCGGCCUGCUGGACCGUAACUGACGUUGAGGCUCGAAAGCGUGGGGAGCAAACAGGAUUAGAUACCCCUGUAGUC